CAUCUUCUAUGGACAGGAAUUUGGCUACAUAGUAGCCCUCCUCAUGGUAAUAUAAAUCAGGUUCUGGGACAUGAGACAGUGGAGAUUAAUGAAUCGUUUCAUAGCAUUAAAUCCUGGUCCAUUCCCAAACACAAAAAUUACUAAGGCACUCUUCCAUUUUUGCUCUUCCUCCUCCACAUCCUCUUUCAUCAACUGGCCAACAGGCUUACCAUCGAGCAUAGUUGGUGGAAUAUACUCCAAGACCAUACAUUUGAUGCAAAUCUAUUCUUCUGGAAGAAAUUUGCCCAACCUUUGGGUGCUGCAUUUGUCGCCUUAG
Molecule: long non-coding RNA, 316 nt
Filed under: Nicotiana benthamiana
Lineage: Eukaryota; Viridiplantae; Streptophyta; Magnoliopsida; Solanales; Solanaceae
Description: long non-coding RNA (NBEN_LNC034943)
Source: RNAcentral